CCGUCGUGAAGAGGGAAACAACCCAGACCGCCAGCUAAGGUCCCAAAGUCAUGGUUAAGUGGGAAACGAUGUGGGAAGGCCCAGACAGCCAGGAUGUUGGCUUAGAAGCAGCCAUCAUUUAAAGAAACAACAUGACGUAACUUGCCUUUAAUAACAAAACGCGAACUGUCAGCAAUAUCAUCAUAUAUUGCAGCCAUACCUGAACCGGGUACUACAUGUGUGAUGAUUUUCAUAACAAUUAAUCUUGUUCAAUU
RNAcentral lists this ribosomal RNA (254 nucleotides) under Salmonella enterica subsp. enterica serovar Kentucky. Its description in RNAcentral is "partial 23S ribosomal RNA". It matches the Rfam family "Bacterial large subunit ribosomal RNA", at positions 1005 to 1142 of the family's 2925-position model. Lineage: Bacteria; Pseudomonadati; Pseudomonadota; Gammaproteobacteria; Enterobacterales; Enterobacteriaceae. The record is from RNAcentral.